Molecule: microRNA precursor, 85 nt
Filed under: Loxodonta africana (African savanna elephant)
Lineage: Eukaryota; Metazoa; Chordata; Mammalia; Proboscidea; Elephantidae
Description: miRNA (ENSLAFG00000033094.1)
Rfam family: Eukaryotic large subunit ribosomal RNA
Source: RNAcentral
AAGCAAGAGGUGUCAGAAAAGUUACCACAAGUAUAACUGGCUUGUGAUGGCUAAGCGUUCAUAGUGACGUUGCUUUCUGAUCCUU